AGAGUUUGAUCCUGGCUCAGAGUGAACGCUGGCGGCAGGCCUAAUACAUGCAAGUCGAACGGCAGCACAGCAGAGCUUGCUCUGUGGGUGGCGAGUGGCGGACGGGUGAGGAAUACGUGGGAAUCUGCCCAGUCGUGGGGGAUAACGUAGGGAAACUUACGCUAAUACCGCAUGCGCCCUUCGGGGAAAGCCGGGGACCUUCGGGCCUGGCGCGAUUGGAUGAGCCCACGUCGGAUUAGCUAGUUGGCGGGGUAAAGGCCCACCAAGGCGACGAUCCGUAGCUGGUCUGAGAGGAUGAUCAGCCACACUGGAACUGAGACACGGUCCAGACUCCUACGGGAGGCAGCAGUAGGGAAUAUUGGACAAUGGGCGCAAGCCUGAUCCAGCCAUGCCGCGUGAGUGAAGAAGGCCCUCGGGUUGUAAAGCUCUUUUGUCCGGAAAGAAAAGCGCCGGGUUAAUACCCUGGUGUCCCGACGGUACCGGAAGAAUAAGCACCGGCUAACUUCGUG
Molecule: ribosomal RNA, 509 nt
Filed under: uncultured bacterium
Lineage: Bacteria
Description: bacterial SSU rRNA
Rfam family: Bacterial small subunit ribosomal RNA
Source: RNAcentral